Molecule: ribosomal RNA, 492 nt
Filed under: uncultured bacterium
Lineage: Bacteria
Description: partial 16S ribosomal RNA
Rfam family: Bacterial small subunit ribosomal RNA
Source: RNAcentral
AGUGAACGCUGGCGGUAGGCCUAACACAUGCAAGUCGAACGGCAGCACAGUAAGAGCUUGCUCUUACGGGUGGCGAGUGGCGGACGGGUGAGGAAUACAUCGGAAUCUACUUUUUCGUGGGGGAUAACGUAGGGAAACUUACGCUAAUACCGCAUACGACCUACGGGUGAAGGCAGGGGAUCUUCGGACCUUGCGCGAUUGAAUGAGCCGAUGUCGGAUUAGCUAGUUGGCGGGGUAAAGGCCCACCAAGGCGACGAUCCGUAGCUGGUCUGAGAGGAUGAUCAGCCACACUGGAACUGAGACACGGUCCAGACUCCUACGGGAGGCAGCAGUGGGGAAUAUUGGACAAUGGGCGCAAGCCUGAUCCAGCCAUACCGCGUGGGUGAAGAAGGCCUUCGGGUUGUAAAGCCCUUUUGUUGAGAAAGAAAAGCAGCAGGUUAAUACCCCGCUGUUCUGACGGUACCCAAAGAAUAAGCACCGGCUAACUUCGUG